Non-coding RNA from Paramuricea clavata, 228 nucleotides. Lineage: Eukaryota; Metazoa; Cnidaria; Anthozoa; Malacalcyonacea; Plexauridae. The record is from the annotation of a GenBank genome assembly.
GAACUGAACGUCCACUUUUUAGACACUGUCAGGUUGGAAGUUUGGCUGGGGCACGACUGUUAAAUGAUAAAUACAAGUGUCCCAAGGUGAGCUUAAUGAGAACGGAAACCUCCUGUAGAACAAAAGGGUAAAAGCUCACUUAAUAUUGAUGUUCAGUAUGAAUACAAACUGUGAAAGCAUGACCUAUCGAUCCCUUAGUCUUUACGAGGUGGUGUCAGAAAAGUUACC